UACAGAGGGUGAAAGCGUUGUUCGGAAUUACUGGGCGUAAAGCGCGUGUAGGCGGUCCAGCAAGUCGGUCGUGAAAGCCCUUGGCUUAACCAAGGAACUGCGAUCGAAACUACUAGACUAGAGUAUCGGAGGGGAUGGCGGAAUUCCCGGUGUAGAGGUGAAAUUCGUAGAUAUCGGGAGGAACACCUGUGGCGAAGGCGAGUCCCUGGACAACUCCUGACACUGAGGCACGAAAGCUAGGGGAGCAAACAGG
Molecule: ribosomal RNA, 253 nt
Filed under: uncultured prokaryote
Description: partial 16S ribosomal RNA
Rfam family: Bacterial small subunit ribosomal RNA
Source: RNAcentral